GGUAUUAAGAUUUUAAUCUUUGGGAUCCAGCCAAACUUGACGGCCACUAUGGGGUAAUGUCUUCUCAAGACGAAUGCCCCACAGUCUGCACCGUGGUCGUUACAGCUAUUUCCUGGUGUGGGCAAAUGCCAUGCAACUAAGUCACAAGGACGAGUGGUCGAAUAUAAGGGAGAAAAAGGCCGAUAAGCAUGGAUCACCUACAACUUCCUCAGGAAAAGUUUAACCAAGAAGUGAACUCAAAAAUUCACAAGUGUCAUUCAUUAUAGCUGCAUUGAAAAACUGGCAUGACCUGAAUAUUAAUUAAUCACCA
This 310-nucleotide long non-coding RNA is filed under the name Cricetulus griseus (Chinese hamster). RNAcentral's name for it is "lncRNA (ENSCGRG00015042898.1)". The record is from RNAcentral. Lineage: Eukaryota; Metazoa; Chordata; Mammalia; Rodentia; Cricetidae.